UGAUUAUAUUAGCAGCUCUCUUGAUGAGAAAAAGGGGUGAAACCCUUUUAUUGAGCAUCUGUUAUAUAUUAGCAAUUUAUUUAGAUUAUCUUAUUUAAUCUUCUCACUUCAGAUAAGUGAUAUUAUUCUAAUUUAGGGGCAUGAGGUUCAGUGACUUUAGGGAGUUGCAUGGUGGCCCCAAAAAGAUACGUCCACAUCCUCACCCCCAGGAUCUGUGAAUGUUACCUUUAUGGCAAAAGAUGUGAUAAAGUUCAGGAUCUCGAGAGGAGGAGCUGAUCCUCAGUGGAUCCUAGAUGUGGUCACACGUAUCCUCAUGAGACAGACACACAAAGGAGAAGACACAGAGAGGAGGAGGCCAUGUGGCUACAGGAGAGGAGAGGGGAGGGAUGCGGCUACAAGCCACGGAGGGCCUGCAACCACUGGAAACUGCAAGAGUCAUUGUAGGUCUCAGGAAGGAAGGAGCAAUGAGAGGCUUGUGAAGGGAGGAAGCUCUGCGGAGCCCUCACGAGCAUCACGUGCCUUUGAGGAGUGCCGGACCAUGGAGUCUCAAAGGAAAUCUGCCUUUCUGGAGAGGAACAAACUCACAUUUAUUAAGUGCCAAUAAUGUGCAGGAACUCUACUAGUAACUUAAUAUGUUAUCAUUUUGUCUAAUUAGCAGGGAAUAGGAAGAGUUGAAUAAUGUCUUUGUUUAUGUAAUUUGGCUAUAAAGUAAAGCAAAAUUCUGCCGGGUGAAUGCAAUUUCCUAUUGACUUUCACAUCGCAUUGGACACCCUCCUUGUGGCCAUGGCUGCUCAGGUGAUCUCUCUUUCCUGGAAGUUUCACUUUUCACACAGGCAAUUAUCAUAGCAAAUUUGUGUCAUCUCAGUCAUAAUCAGGCCUAUUUGAAGGGAUGUUGUCAUUAACAGUUUAGUUCCAAAUACAUAUUUUCCCCUAAGUAGGUUGGAACUAACAUAGUGUUGUUGUUUCCAGAGCCAAAGACAAGAAGGCCACAUUUGUGUUUUAAGUCUUAGGAUCCUAAUUUCUUAAUUCCAUACAUUGGAUCCUUGCUGUCUGAGUUUCCACAGGGCCUAGGGAAGAGAUAGGACCCAAGCCGUCAUCAGGCUGUCCUUGCAGGCUUCUUGCAGAGUCGCUGGAAUACUUGAUUGUUUUUCAGUAUUUCAGCAGCUUCCUCUAUGAGGAUGUGUUCACCUCACCCACAGAAGCCCUUUUCAAAUGUUACUGAGAAGACUGAUAAGAAGAAGAAGCAUCCACUGAUGAGUUCUCGGAAAGAAAGCAUCCGAUUUAACUACAGGGCAAGAGCGCUGAGUCCCACAGGCCCGGCUGACAGCGAGGGAGCCAGGCGGCACCCGCUCUUCCCAGAGUGGUGCAGGAAAGAGGCGACCACAUGAAUGUUCACUGCAUGUCGUCUGAGGCUCACCAUAGUCACCGCAACUCCAGUUAGGGGGUGCUCGAUGGCUUGGCAUGUGACCACACUCAGAGCUGCCCAAGAAAGCGGACCUGGAAGGACCAGCCAGUCCCUGAGCCCAUGCGUGUCCCUGACGCGCCACAGUGUUCUUCACGGCUCCUUUACUUUCGUACUCAUCUUAGACGUCUAUAAAGAUCACGUGUCUGUGUGAACACAGGACAAGCACAGUUCUCCGGUGUUGAUGGGGAUAUAAAAUUUUACCUUGCCUUCUUUGACCACAGUGUGAAAUUUCAAAGUAUAAACAUGAUCGAAAAAAGAGUGUCUUCAAAAACAGAGAAACAACAGCAUUUCAUUUUCCCAGAACCUUUCCAGGCUCAGUCAGACGGCUGCCCAGCAGCCACUAGAAACAACACCCCAUUCCCCACACCACCCCCGCCUGUAAGUAAGGGGCACCAUCAACGCUGAGAAAGAAAUUGCCACAGUAACAAAACUUAUGGGAGUGGAUAACUUCUCACAGAACUUGCCAAUCAGCCACAGACGCAGAUCUGCCUUCCUUCUCCCUCACUCCACCCUUAGCUCAGGAGAACAGCCUAAACCCUCAGGAGAAGCUGCCUUUCAGCCGAAGAAGAAGGCUCCACACGACACGGCCGUGUUGGAGUAUUUUGCUUGUGCUUCCUUUCCGUCUUCUUUACUACGCAGAUGUGUGUGUGUGUAAGUGUGUGUUGUGUUGCUUUGCUUUUUCUCUUUGCUCAGGGUUCAGAAGAGUUAUGAUUUCAACUGAAGACAUCACACGAAUGUGGCUAAAAAAGCAAACAAUACAGAAAUGUAUGAAAUAAAAUCAAAUGUCUCCGUCUCCACACCCUCACCGUUCCCCAAUUCUCUCGGACUUCCUAAGAACAGAAAUUCUGUGAGGAGAGGAGAGUGUGUGUACAGGGGGAGGUGGGGGGUCGGAGGGAGAGAAAGAGGCUUGAUAUUGUCUUAUUUAUAAUUUAAAAAAAUAUAUUGCACACAUACACACUCCUCCCUUCAUCUCCCCUCCACCCAAAAAAAGAAAAAAUGGAACAAAACAAACAAGAAAACCAAACUUCUGCUGUUCGGAAGUCUAAGAGAAUUGCUGGUUAAAGGUCUUUCAGAUUAAGCUCGUUCCAAAGACAUUUCCAGUGUAACCAAACAAUGAGAAGCAUUGGUGUCCAGCCAGCCGCAGCCCCUGCCGCCUCCGGUUUAGAGCAAUUUCAUGAUGAUUAACUCAAAGAGAAGACAGAGAUGGGUUCACGGAAUAAGAAAACAAACAACUCAAAAUUCCCCUCUAUUUAUUUAUAUUUAAACUAUCUUAUUUUUAUCCAUUAUUUUAGAUAAUAAAUUUAUGUGCUUUUAGGAUGAUUUUCUUUGGUAGGGAAAAAUCUCUUAGGCCUUGCAUUUUCUCCUUAAUUAUAAAGGGUUGUGGAAUGUUUUCUGAGAACAGAAAUCUUUCCUCAAGGAAUUAUUUUUCCUAGAAUGUUAGGAGGGUCUCUAGGUAAGCAAUGAUGUCAGUGCAAAUGUUUUACUUCUCUCCUCUUCCAUCCAAGUUGGCUUAAUAUGUUUUAGUUCUAUUACGUGACUAUUUUUAGAACAGAUUGGAAAAUUUGCUCACCAAGAGAACAAUGAUUAACUAAAUCUGUAAAGUGCCAUUUCACUAUCAAUAAAAAGAAAAUCUAAACCCACAACUAAUGGCCCCGAGUUUCCUGCUUGCGUAGAGGAGUCUCUUUAGACCAAAGUGUUAUUUUUGAAAUCUUUAGGUUUUUUUCUUCCUUUCCCCACGUCAUUCUACCUUUUAAAAAACUUAUCCACUCUAUUAAUAAUAAAGAAAUAUACUCCCAAUCUUCACCCUCUUUUUAGCUACACACUUGAGUCUCAUGGUCAGGUUUUCCUCCGAGCACCUCUUCCAGAUUUGCCGUGAGACAGUGUAGAGCAUUGGUUAGGAGUGUGGGCUCUGGAAACAGCCUGUCCUGACUCCAGACCUGACGAGCUAUCUGGCUUAGAUUAAUUUUCCUAAUCUCUCUAUUCCUCAGUUUUCUUAACUGUAAAAUGGGGGGUAAAAUUUACAUUAUAAUGUAAAUUUGGUAAGGUUGUUAUAAAGAUUGAAGGAGAAAAUAUAAGUGAAGCCCUUAAUAUACUUCUAUCCCACAAUAAGCUUCAGUGGAGGGGAGUUUAAAAAAUAAGAUAUA
Molecule: long non-coding RNA, 3609 nt
Organism: Equus caballus (horse)
Lineage: Eukaryota; Metazoa; Chordata; Mammalia; Perissodactyla; Equidae
Source: Ensembl